This 253-nucleotide ribosomal RNA is filed under the name uncultured bacterium. Its description in RNAcentral is "partial 16S ribosomal RNA". It matches the Rfam family "Bacterial small subunit ribosomal RNA", at positions 524 to 776 of the family's 1533-position model. The record is from RNAcentral.
UACGAAGGGGGCUAGCGUUGCUCGGAAUUACUGGGCGUAAAGGGCGCGUAGGCGGCGGAUCAAGUCAGGCGUGAAAUUCCUGGGCUUAACCUGGGGGCUGCGUUUGAGACUGAUGUGCUUGAGGAUGGCAGAGGCUCGUGGAAUUCCCAGUGUAGAGGUGAAAUUCGUAGAUAUUGGGAAGAACACCGGUGGCGAAGGCGGCGAGCUGGGCCAUUACUGACGCUGAGGCGCGACAGCGUGGGGAGCAAACAGG